RNAcentral lists this ribosomal RNA (773 nucleotides) under uncultured Neocallimastigales. Its description in RNAcentral is "partial large subunit ribosomal RNA". It matches the Rfam family "Eukaryotic large subunit ribosomal RNA", at positions 24 to 642 of the family's 3401-position model. The record is from RNAcentral. Lineage: Eukaryota; Fungi; Neocallimastigomycota; Neocallimastigomycetes; Neocallimastigales.
UAUCUCUGUAGAGUCUGCAUAUCAAUAAGCGGAGGAAAAGAAACUAACAAGGAUUCCCUAGUAACGGCGAGUGAAGCGGGAAGAGCUCAAAUUUGAAAUCUUCAAGGUUCUACCUUGACGAAUUGUAGUUUAAAGAAGUGUUUUCUGUUAGAUGAGUAGCAAAAGUUCCUUGGAAUAGGACAUCAUAGAGGGUGAGAAUCCCGUAUUUGACUAUUCUUUCUAGCUUUGUGAUACACUUUCAAAGAGUCGGAUUGUUUGGGAAUGCAGUCCAAAAUGGGUGGUAAAUUUCAUCUAAAGCUAAAUAUUGGCGAGAGACCGAUAGCGAACAAGUACCGUGAGGGAAAGAUGAAAAGAACUUUGAAGAGAGAGUUAAACAGUACGUGAAAUUGUCAAAAGGGAAGCGUUUGACACCAGUGUUGUUUUUCCGAAAAUCAAUUAAAAAUUGAUUCAUGCCAGGUUGUAUUGACCUUAUCAGCUUGCAAUUUGGUUUUGGGUCUCUUUUUGAUGCACUUUUCGGUUAACAAGUCAACAUCAAUUUCCUUUGCUGUAAAAAGGUAAGAGGAAGGUGGCUUCAAUUUCGGUUGAAGUGUUUAUAGCCUUUUAUCUCUGCAGUCGGGGAGAUUGAGGUCUGCAGCGUAGAUCCUUCGGGGCUAGAUACAUUUAUGCUAAGUUAUAGCUUUUCAUAGACAACUUGUUGACUAUGUUUAGUCAUGUAGCUUACUCGUAAGUGCUAUUUUACCUACGCUUAGGAUGUUGAAGACUCUACAGAGAUA